This 6714-nucleotide long non-coding RNA is filed under the name Sus scrofa (pig). RNAcentral's name for it is "lncRNA (ENSSSCG00035041360.1)". Lineage: Eukaryota; Metazoa; Chordata; Mammalia; Artiodactyla; Suidae. The record is from RNAcentral.
GAAUGGGGAUUGCCCAGGAGAACCUCCGGCAGCACAUCCUACAACAGGUGCUCCAGCUGAAGGUGCGAGAAGAAGUCAGAAACCUACAGUUACUCACACAAGCCUCAACCGAGGGUUCUCCAUAGACAUGGUUAGCCUUCCAAGCUGCUGUCCUGCCAGUCGAUAUGAACAUGGCCUGUUCCUCACAGAAAGACGAACUCUUGAUGCUGCCAGAAGAUAUCCUUGGAGCAUUGACAGAUUAACUGGAUUAACUGGAAAAAAAAAAAAAUUCGGUCAAGAUCAUGGGCUUUGGAAAGUCUUAGUUUGCUAUGGAUUUUUAAAUGAGGUGCAUAAUAUACAGUGCCAACUUGUUCCAAGUGGUCAUUGGCAGACCAUUAGCUGGAAAAUAGCUUCCAGUUUUCAUCACUGUGCAUAACUCAAGCUCCCUCGGGGAGCUGUCUGUGCCCUUCACUAGAAGUCCUGUUUUAGCAUGGCAACUACUGGAUUAUUUUAUUAUGUGUGCAGAUGGCAUGAUGUGUUAGAAAAAAAAAAUUACAGCAGUUCUGCAGUCUCAGUGGAAGUGUUCACAAUAUUAGGCCCUGGUAGAGCCAUUCCUCAUGAUACUGGAUUCUGGGAAGCCCCAAUGCUAUGACUGGUCCUGGGGACACAGAAUUGGGCCUGAGGAAUUCAAAUGAACUACUGCCAGGUGCUGAGACAUUGUAGCUGGGAAUGAACUGGUUUAGCUUGGAGUGCUCUGAGAACUACUGGUAACACCCUUAGAAAAUUGGACAUGCUUUACGGGGCAGAUGUUCAUGAUAUGAUGAUGGUAGUUCAUCCUUACUUUGGCAUUUGCAAAAUAUGUUCUGAACAUGAGUAGAGUUUUAUAGCUUUUUUCGAGUCACAAAUGUGCUGGACAAUGAUUAAAAGAUGAUGGCUGAAGAUGGAGAUGGGAGAAGGCAAAGAUGGAAACAAUGAAAGAGCCCCAUUGACGAUGGUGUCUCUAAAAAUGCCUUAAUUCCUGGCACAUACCACAUAUUUGCAUGUGAGCUACUACUGUUUUCCAAACUGUCAACCUCGGUUUGAAAUCAUUUGGGGGCAUAGUUUUGGAAACGUGGUGGCCUAUAAUCUGAGCAGUUACAAGCUAAACCAGCAAAAUAGAGAAAUGAUUUCCUUCACAGCCUUGGGAUUCUUUGUUAUGCAUUGAUCCACAGUUACCCAUGGUUACUUCCUGCUGUGCUGUACCUUCUUCCCAAGAUAUAUGUAGGACGUUUUACCUCCUAGAAGUGCAGAGAUGGCUGUGGUGAGUUUUGUUUAAUGGGAAGCAGGAGACAGGAAGGUAGGGGAUAAAUAUUUUGACGACUAAGGGCUGUAAACUGUGGAUGCUGAACUUUUCCUUAAACCCAGGCUGCACCUUUUAUUUAAAGGCUGCCCCCCCCACACACACACACACAUGCUUGUUCAGGAAAGGCACUCUUGGGAGUGAGCCAAAAUGAAUAAUUAUCAGACUCUUGAGGGGUACCCAGGGGAUAAAUUGUUCCAGCUCCAGAGCUGAAUUUAAAUAUGCAAAGCAUCAGUGGUCCUGCCUCAGUAAAAAGCAAAUCCCUUCAGUAGAUUAAGCCUACCUAGGGGGGCAAGAGACCCUAUCAGCUUUCUUGUGGGCGUGGCUCAUCUUCAAGUCUCUGCGCAGCCUCUGUGAGGUGUGUAACCGCCCCGUGGACUUCUACCUCCAGAAUACAGGGAAAUAACCCCGGGUUCCCUCCGGAGUCCCUUCUCAGUUGCUCGGACAGUGGCUAAUAGUCCUUAGAUCUGAGGGACUCCUUCCUGGUUUUUAACCUUCAAGGGGAAAAGGGACAUCAACCUUACGUGAGAAUAUAAUGGAAGCAUUAAAACUUCUAAUGGGCGUACCCCCUUGUUCCUUGCAAAUGUUUUCUUUGUCUGCAAAUGUCACAUAAUCGAUUUUGGCGCGGAACAAUGGAAGUCUCACAAAGGAAAAGUUUUCAAGACCCCCUUAGCACUUUCAUUUUGCCAAAACCUCCUUUUUCAGUGCUUCAGCGGCUUCAUUCUUUGUACUGUUUUCCUCUCCAUUCAAGUAAUUUUGUUACUUGACAACUAGACUUAAAGCUGCCAUGGUCUCUUUUUUAAAAGUCUAAUCUUUGAAAAUGACAUCAAUUCCUUUAUGCCUUAAAGGCAGUUUUAUUCACCUCUUCCACAACCCUCUCCACUUCACUUUCUUGCUUUGUUUUGUGAGGUGUGGUUUUUUUUUCCUCUUAAUCUCUUUCUUUUCAUAAUAUAGUUCCUUGGGCAGAUUUCAAGUAUUCCGCAAAGAACCCAAACAGAAAAAUAUAGUCGUCCCCUUUCUUACCAGUUCUGACUAAUAAGUCCUUGUUGAGCUUGAUCUGGGUGAAAGCUUGGUGCCCAGACCACACUGGGCAGGAAUUCUCAUCGUCUGGAGAGUGGCCGGUCACUGCAGUAAUCAAAACAAGACCCGCGACUCACGAGGAAGGACAGACGGCCUGGGAGAUGCAGCUGCUUGGGCACAGCUGGGGACUGUGUUUCAAAGACUAGCGGGUCCUGUCCCUUUGUCUCUUUAGAUGUGCAUCUAAUCCUGUAGCCAGAGAACUGUCUUAAGAAUUCUGCUUUAUCAAUGUGAGUGAUCCCUGGCUCCGCUGCACAGCUUCAAGGUCAGAGAGGGCUGCAUUUCCAUUACUUUGCUCUGGUGACUUCUGCCUCUAGUAAAGAGGCAAGAAGGCUUCAUUUUUUAAAAAUGUUUUUAAAUAAAUUUUAUGGGGGUCUCAUUGACUUAACAAAGUUGCAUUAGUUUCAGGUGUACAGCAAAGUGAAUCAGUUAUACGUAAUACCUAUAUACCUUCCAAGGAGGCUUCUUUUGAAAGCUAACCACCUGUGGAAAGCUUGAAAAACUGGCCAGUUGCACAGGGAGGUUUGGCCACCCUUUAAUAAAAGGAACCAAAUCAAGCUUUCUCUAGGGAUUCUCAUUUGGGAAGUUGGCUAGGAGGAUGGUAUCAGUACAGGCUUUCUUCUGGCCAUUAUCUUGGCCCUGCAGGGAAAAUUCUGGGCAAGGAGGACAAGCACAGAGAUCUAACAUAUUUAGAGUGCAAUUUGCCCAUGACAAAUCUAGAGGAGAAGUGCCAUGGAGGAAAGGGCUGGUUUCAGACCUCCUUCCCAGCAACACAGACUGAGACAUAAUGUCCACAGAACAACAGAAAAGGGGUAGCAGAGGCUUUGUAAAUCUGGACUUUCCCAUGCCACGUUGGGCUAUUUUAAAGCCUUUCAGAGCCCCAAGCAUCCUUACUUCAGAGGCUCCCAAUUAUAUCAAGCGCUCGAAGGCACCAACAACAUACACCUAAUAAAAUUUCAAAGUAGCCAUGUGACUUGCAUUGCUUUGCAGGUGACUGGUUGACAUUAAGUGUUACAGCUAUUUAGACAUUAAUUCUGAUUAUGCAAUUCCUUUUUACAUUUUGAAGCCAGUGGUUUGGGGUUUCCAUCGUUUCAUUGUUUGUUUUGUUGUUGUUGUUUUCCAAACCUCAAACAUUUACAGAAGCCUUAGAAAGGCUCUUCGACCCAGAUCUUUUUGCCUGAAGCACAGAAAUAGAAACAGCCCUCUGAUGCAAACAAGGCAACGGUUAUAUUAAUCCAACUUUAGAGAUGCUAGCACCUAAACUCUUUAAGACCCUGAUGACUCUGCUGGUUGCCUUCUGCAUUGUUUAUAGCCUUUUAAGUUUCAGUCGUUUGGAUCAAGGGAAAUAAACAGGCUGCCUUCCCAUGGCCUUGCCACACCAGCACGCACACAACCACUACACAUGGAAUCCUAAGCCAGAUUCAUGUGCCACAGCACACAGAUCUGUUUCCGGUGAUCGUAUCUAAUUACCAUCCCCGACCCAACCCCCCAUUUUCUAUAAAAAUGGAUUCAUAUGCUUUACUCUAAAAAAAGUUCUAAAAUGAGGUUCGUACUCAUUAGAUCAUGACUUCUCUUGGGGUGGGGGAAUUGACUUUGCGACAUAACCUUGGAGAAAAAUCACUGGCUAUUAAAUGCCUUGGUGAUUGCUCCUGUGCCCUUCCAAAAACCGAUGUUGGACUUCUCCCAUCUCCCCAGAGGUCAGCCUGGCCUCCCUCUCAAGCAGCACAAAUAUCAUGAAGAUACCUUUGGAAGUGUCUAAACAGACUCCCUAUUCAAGCAUAAUUCCAAAAAUGGGAUUUGAAUCAAGGACUGCCUUGAUUCUGGGUUAUGUGAUCCCUAAAUCAAUUCCAAUUCUUUAGAUAUAUAUCCACAGCAUUUUUUUUUCACCUGCAUCCUCUAUGUUAAUGUGUUUGCAUCAGGGGCUACACACUAACUCUGUCACAACUUUUGACAAUGUCUAUGCCACGUUUACAUUCCGUGCAUCAAGAGAAGACCAAAAAAAUUUCCUUUGGUACCAGCCGCAGAGGUUCUAAAGUACAGAACCAGGUAUUUUUUCACAUCAGAAGGCCCCUGUUUAUAGGUAGAAACUUUAAAGAGAAACAAGGGAAGGGAUAUUCCUAUUUGAACUCUGGGAAUCUUUGUUUUUUCAUUGUCAUUCGGGUCUCACCUCAGAGCACCCUUCUCUUUCUAGAAGCAGCAGCUUCUUCGGGGAGUGUUGGCCCCCAUUGGAGGUGGUUGGGAUUCCACUUGCUUAAACUUACAGGAAGGGCACCGUAAGGCUCUCUGAGGCUCUGCGUGAGUUCUCCACUCCUCCCUUUCUUUCACCAGCAGAAAAAUGCUAUCCUUACAAGGUCAUGUUUGAGGAGCCCUCAGUUUAGCCAGUGAACCUCCACGUUACAGAGAGCUGAACAAUGCCAGGUUCUUGACUGUGCCCUCUAAGCCUCAGUCGUGAUUGGCACAGAAGCAACCAGUCUGCUGAAAAGCCGAGCCAGCACAAAUGUUUUGAAACGAAUUCCACUGAAACUCUUGUUUGUUACAUCAUACUUGCUGUAGUUCCAGUUAAUCCAACUAUUUAAUAUCAUGAGGUACUAAAUUAAAUAGCUGUACACAAAAUUUUAGAAAAGAUCAAUAUUGUAACAAAAUUACAUAUUAGCAGUAAAAAGUACCCAAGAAAAGAAAAUAUUGAUCCAUUGUGGUUUCUAUACUUGAGUUAUUCUUAGGACUCUGGAGAGACUGGCACUGCUCUGAUAAAUGAGAAGAUGGCUUUCUUUGGUCUUUGAAAAUGUUUAUCGGAGUAUAGUUGAAUUUGCAAUGUUGCGUUAGUUUCAGGUGUACAACAAAGGGACUCAGCUACCUAUAUACACGUGUCUGUUCCUUUUCAGAUUCUUUUCCUAUAUAGGUCACUACAGCGUGUUGAGCAGAUUUCCCUGUGCUGCACAGUAGGUCCCCGUUACUCCUCCAUUCCAUAUAUGGGGAAGACGUUUUGAAUUCGAGAAUACGAACUUGAACUAAGGGGAAACUGCCUGUCUCUCUGGGCUUCUGCUCAUCUGUUUGGGAUGCUCCCUGUUCCAUCUCAGCAGACAGGGUUGUUGGGAGGCCAAAAUGAGCAAAGGGGAGAAGCUAUGCUGUACCACCCAUAUCUGUGUAUUCAUCCUGGUGAGCUGGGCUAUUGGCUUUUGUCAGUGAGCCCUUUUCUUUUGUUUAUGCCUUCCCUUCAUAGCUCUUAUUACUCAGAUUCCAUUCUGGAAUUUUGAAAAGUAAAAUAAGAAAGUUACCAAUCAGCAUUCUGAAUGCACACCCAAUAUAUGGCGACUGGUCUACAAAGCUCAUGGUCAAGGUGCCCAUUCAUCCCCACAUCACCUCCCAAAGGUUUAGAGCACUAGCCGAGCGGAGCUCAGUGCAGGUGAAGAUUGCCAAUCCCCGGGGUUGAAGACAGCCCAUGAAGUUGACAAAUUGAGGGUCACAGGAAGCAGAGAGCCACAUCGAACUUCCUUGAUGAGCUGCCAUAUAUUAGUCUUUGUGCUAGGAAAGAAAGAGGAAGAAAAAUGAGACAAUGUGAAUUGCAUGUGAGACCAGGGCUCUCAAUUGAGUAUGAGAGGGGGAAAAAUCCUGCACAAAAAACAAAACAAACAAACAAAAAAAACCUAGUUCACUGUUUUGCAGACACUAACAAACAUGGCUAUAAAAGCACAUUUUGUAACACAAAAGCCUACGUAGAUCGUAGACAUGUUUAUAGCAUCCUUAAGUGAGUAGUUAAACCAGCAGUCUGAAUUCUCUUAGUCCCCUGAGUGGUUAAUUAAAUAUUUUCCUUAUUCAUUGCCCACAACUGUGGUUUUCCCCCUCUAUGCACCCUAGAAAAAUUCCCAAGACUAGACUUAGGAGGACACAAGCCGGUUAUGUGGUAAAAUAAGAGUGCCUUUUCUGUUGGAUGUUCAUUUUAGUGCCCUGCAUUUCCAGGGCAUACCAUGUUUAGAAACUUUUUUCUCUAAACGUAGGAAUUACUAGGCACCACGAUUUUGAAAUACCAAUUUCCAUAUCUUAAGCAGCUGUCAACUUGCCAAUUCCCUUUGGGUCUCCUUUACAUUUUCUUAUAAUGUUUCCUUGUGUUUUGGGUUGCCCUCAAAAAGAGUUUUGGGGGGGCAUGACUUUUUAAAUUGAUAGAAAUGCAACUGUACAGAUUUUUGCCCCCUUGUAUCUGUGAGCAUGAUCUCUAUCAGGCUUGAAAAAUCUGCUUUAUCAUUUUGUAUAUUUGACUAUUUUGUAUUCAACAUUACUUGAUUCCUUAUGUGCAUGGCGAUGUAUUAAAAUGUGGGAUUUCU